Molecule: ribosomal RNA, 253 nt
Filed under: uncultured bacterium
Lineage: Bacteria
Description: partial 16S ribosomal RNA
Rfam family: Bacterial small subunit ribosomal RNA
Source: RNAcentral
UACGAAGGGGGCUAGCGUUGCUCGGAAUCACUGGGCGUAAAGCGCACGUAGGCGGGUCUUUAAGUCAGGGGUGAAAGCCCAGAGCUCAACUCUGGAACUGCCUUUGAAACUAGAGGACUUGGGUACGGGAGAGGUGAGUGGAAUUCCGAGUGUAGAGGUGAAAUUCGUAGAUAUUCGGAAGAACACCAGUGGCGAAGGCGGCUCACUGGCCCGGUACUGACGCUGAGGUGCGAAAGCGUGGGGAGCAAACAGG